This 486-nucleotide ribosomal RNA is filed under the name uncultured bacterium. RNAcentral describes it as "partial 16S ribosomal RNA". It matches the Rfam family "Bacterial small subunit ribosomal RNA", at positions 30 to 507 of the family's 1533-position model. The record is from RNAcentral.
AUUGAACGCUGGCGGCAUGCCUUACACAUGCGGGUCGAACGGCAGCACGGGUGCUUGCCCCUGGUGGCGAGUGGCGAACGGGUGAGUAAUACAUCGGAACAUGUCCUGUAGUGGGGGAUAGCCCGGCGAAAGCCGGAUUAAUACCGCAUACGAUCUACGGAUGAAAGCGGGGGACCUUCGGGCCUCGCGCUAUAGGGUUGGCCGAUAGCUGAUUAGCUAGUUGGUGGGGUAAAGGCCUACCAAGGCGACGAUCAGUAGCUGGUCUGAGAGGACGACCAGCCACACUGGGACUGAGACACGGCCCAGACUCCUACGGGAGGCAGCAGUGGGGAAUUUUGGACAAUGGGCGAAAGCCUGAUCCAGCAAUGCCGCGUGUGUGAAGAAGGCCUUCGGGUUGUAAAGCACUUUUGUCCGGAAAGAAAUCCUUGGCUCUAAUACAGUCGGGGGAUGACGGUACCGGAAGAAUAAGCACCGGCUAACUACGUG